Molecule: signal recognition particle RNA, 98 nt
Filed under: Mycoplasmataceae bacterium
Lineage: Bacteria; Bacillati; Mycoplasmatota; Mollicutes; Mycoplasmatales; Mycoplasmataceae
Description: signal recognition particle sRNA small type
Rfam family: Bacterial small signal recognition particle RNA
About the family: The signal recognition particle (SRP) is a universally conserved ribonucleoprotein involved in the co-translational targeting of proteins to membranes. Archaeal SRP consists of a 7S RNA and homologues of the eukaryotic SRP19 and SRP54 proteins.
Source: RNAcentral
UUUAAUUGUCGUUGCAACAUUAAUUGCGAACCGUGUCAGAUUGGAAACAAAGCAGCACUAAGCAUCUAUUAAUGUGUGCAACGACUUUUGUUUUUUUG